RNAcentral lists this ribosomal RNA (201 nucleotides) under uncultured bacterium. Its description in RNAcentral is "partial 16S ribosomal RNA". It matches the Rfam family "Bacterial small subunit ribosomal RNA", at positions 1300 to 1500 of the family's 1533-position model. The record is from RNAcentral.
GCAGGCUGCAACUCGCCUGCAUGAAGUCGGAAUUGCUAGUAAUCGCAGAUCAGCAUGCUGCGGUGAAUACGUUCCCGGGCCUUGUACACACCGCCCGUCACACCAUGGGAGUCGGUAACACCCGAAGUCGGUAGCCUAACCGUAAGGAGGGCGCCGCCGAAGGUGGGAUUGAUGACUGGGGUGAAGUCGUAACAAGGUAGC